UACAGAGGGGGCAAGCGUUGUUCGGAAUUACUGGGCGUAAAGGGCGCGUAGGCGGCCUUCUAAGUCGAACGUGAAAUCCCCGGGCUCAACCCGGGAACUGCGUCCGAGACUGAAAGGCUUGAAUCCGGGAGAGGGAUGUGGAGUUCCAGGUGUAGCGGUGAAAUGCGUAGAUAUCUGGAGGAACAUCGGUGGCGAAGGCGGCAUCCUGGACCGGUAUUGACGCUGAGGCGCGAAAGCCAGGGGAGCAAACGGG
This 253-nucleotide ribosomal RNA is filed under the name uncultured bacterium. RNAcentral's name for it is "partial 16S ribosomal RNA". It matches the Rfam family "Bacterial small subunit ribosomal RNA", at positions 524 to 776 of the family's 1533-position model. The record is from RNAcentral.